GUAGCUGGCCUUACGAGGCAUGUGCACGCCCUGCUCAUCCGCUCUACACCUGUGCACUUACUGUGGGUUACAGACGGUGAAGCGGGCUCCUUACGGGGAGCUUGUGAAGCGUGUCUGUGCCUGCGUUUACCACAAACUCUUUAAAGUAUUAGAAUGUGUAUUGCGGAUGUAACGCAUCUAUAUACAACUUUCAACAACGGAUCUCUUGGCUCUCGCAUCGAUGAAAAACGCAGCGAAAUGCGAUAAGUAAUGUGAAUUGCAAAAUUCAGUGAAUCAUCGAAUCUUUGAACGCACCUUGCGCUCCUUGGUAUUCCGAGGAGCAUGCCUGUUUGAGUGUCAUGAAAUCUUCAACCUGCAAGCUUUUAAUCAGUUUGUAGGCUUGGAUUUGGAGGGUAUUGUCGGCCUUUAUCGGUCGGCUCCUCUUAAAUGUAUUAGCUUGGUUCCUUGCGGAUCGGCUUGUCGGUGUGAUAAUGUCUACGCCGCGACCGUGAAGCGUUUGGGCAAGCUUCCAACUGUCUCACUUUAGAGACAACCUUAUGACCUCUGACCUCAAAUCAAGUACGACUACCCGCUGAACUUAAGCAUAUCAAUAAGCGGAGGAAAAGAAACUAACAAGGAUUCCCCUAGUAACUGCGAGUGAAGCGGGAAAAGCUCAAAUUUAAAAUCUGGCGGUCUUUGGCCGUCCGAGUUGUAGUCUGGAGAAGUGCUUUCCGCGCUGGACC
This 722-nucleotide ribosomal RNA is filed under the name Ganoderma sp. 3 YD-2015. RNAcentral describes it as "eukaryotic LSU rRNA". The stretch from base 186 to 339 matches the Rfam family "5.8S ribosomal RNA". The record is from RNAcentral. Lineage: Eukaryota; Fungi; Basidiomycota; Agaricomycetes; Polyporales; Polyporaceae.